AAUCAAUUAAAAUGAAGAUAAAUUGAAUUAUAGAGAAUUUUAAUUAAAACUCAAGUAAAUCCCAUUCGUGUGUGUAUUUUGCGAACUGCUCCGAAAUUUUGUUCUCAAAAUGUCCGCUAAAUAUCCAAAAGCUACUAGAAACAUCGCAAUAGAAUUUUCCACCACCAACAAAAGGCAAAGCAGCACAAUAGCAACAUCAGCAACAACAACAACAACGAUAACAAAGAAACCACCAACAAGCGCGCGCACACAGAAAGGGGCGAAUAAAUGAGUGUAGCCAGCAACAACCCCGACACUGCCACGAAAAUUGAGCGCCACCUCACCACCCAAGCAACUAUGUUAAUAGCUGGUUAGUGUGGCUAGUGGGUCAGAAUAAUCCGGCAGAGCAGGGGCGCUAGCCAACUAGCGAGCGAAUAGCCAUAACAUUAGCAAAUGGCUAAGCAGCCAGCUUUAGUAGCGGGUAGUAAGUGAACGACAGUCGAAUUUUGGCCGAGCAAACGCCGCCACGUACAGAACGAGCUGUUGGUGGUAAAACGGUCGAGCCUGAAUACAUAUGUAGAGUGAAGAUUUCAUUGAGAAUUACAAAAAACACAACAAAUACAUGCAAACUUGAAGUAAUAAAAGACAAAUACUCACGAAAUUAAUUGAACGAAUACAAAUUAGAGAACUGAUAAAUUUCCUAAAUUCCAGUAAAGUGGCAACAAUAUUUGCAGCAAAAGGGAAAGUCAACGAAAAUUCAAACUAAUUAAAGCAAAACAAAGUGAAAAA
Rhagoletis zephyria (snowberry fruit fly) is the source of this 768-nucleotide long non-coding RNA. RefSeq lists it as uncharacterized. NCBI's taxonomy places the organism in Eukaryota, Metazoa, Arthropoda, Insecta, Diptera, Tephritidae. The record is from RefSeq and is a predicted model, not a curated record.